Long non-coding RNA from Ananas comosus (pineapple), 535 nucleotides. RefSeq lists it as uncharacterized. NCBI's taxonomy places the organism in Eukaryota, Viridiplantae, Streptophyta, Magnoliopsida, Poales, Bromeliaceae. The transcript has 3 exons. The record is from RefSeq and is a predicted model, not a curated record.
AGCUGCGUACACAACCCGCAAGCACACACACACACACAGCAUACACACACGCAUGGAAUGGAAAGGAGAAAGCUCUCUUUCUCUCUCUAGAUUUCUCACAAAAUUAAGGGAAUUGGUGAAGAAGUAAGUUUGGAAGUCGAUUUUCAUCUUCAUCAUCAUCUUCCUCUCUAUUGGAGCUAAUUUGAGAGGGAAACGAACGCGCUGGCGAAGACGGUUCGGCAAUCCGACGAGCCGUUGCGAAGUUAUUAAAGAAACGGACGUUAGGCUUCGUUUCCGCCUGGAGGGCCGAGGCGACGUCGUAAAAUCCUGGAAACGGAUUUGAAGCACCAUAACAGCAAAACGAAGACCCUUUUUACCCGGGGCUGCGAAGCGAUGCGCGGUUGGUACGCAACUACAAGUUCCGACGGAACCGAGCGCCGGAUGCCGCGGGAGGCCGAUUGCAAGUGUCGACAAGCAAUCGGAACGCGAAUCGAGGUUGUACGAGUGCGGCGCGGCGGCGCGAGGCGUGGGCGUAGCUCCGUAGAUGCGCCCUACC